GAAGCUUUUCAAAUCAGAGCUCAAUGAGGACCUCUGCUGGUGAAAGUGCUGUUUCACAAUAUGUUCCACAACCAAACAACGUAUUAAUUUAAUUAUAAAAGCAAAACUUAAUCGAUUGACAAAUUAAGGAUAGAUUCAUAAAUAAAUGUAACACUAUAUUAAAUACAUGACCAAAGCACGUUCCAUUUCAUGCGAUUGGUACUUCAAACAAAAAUAACAAAUUAAGGAUAGACCUUGUCUCAAAAGUAUAAAGUGUGAACCAAUUAAAAAAUAUAUCAUGGUAUUAAGUGGUGCAGAAAAGGCUUUUUACUACUAAUAUAUUCUAGAUAUAUCAUAAACUCACUAUACAGUAAUCGAUUCCGUGUAAUGCAAUACUCCAAUACAACCCAUGAGGGCGCGCCGCGCAUCGCACAAUUCUAAACCUUUGAAUCAUAUAACGAAGCAGUCACGUGGGUGUGUGUGAAACGAAGCUUCGGACGUCAUUGGUCACGUGAUUUUGCCAAAACGAAUCAAGCUUCGAUACAAAGCUUCAAUGAAAAUCGGUUCGUUUUUUUGACACACGCUUCGGAGCUUCGGUGUCACUGGUAACAUCACUAAAGAAAACUAUAUUAACACAAAUAUAUAGUACAGCAAACAAAUUUGUGGGCACUCCAAAUUGCUGCUGAAACUUAUUAAAUAAACAUAGUUAAACCAAAAAUAACUGAAGUCUGUUUUAUUAUAAACGUGUGUGCGCGCGCGUGUGUGUGUGACCAAUGCCUAAUGUGUGACCGCAUCAUGACGGGCCAUCACAGUAUAAAUAUAUUUCCCAGUGUUAUUACUUUAUGCGUUUCCAAAAAAAAAAAAGGGCUUUAAUCAGGUGGUAACAUCUGUUGUUCAUCUUUUCUAUUUUUGUCUUUUAGAACUAAAACCAAAAAGCCGGAAGAAAAUCCAUGCUUUCUUGGCCAGAGCAUUGCGGGCUAUUAAAAAAGCCUGCUAUUGCUGCGGAAAUGGAAAUGAGGACAUUGUGGAGCCAUUUGAUCCUCAGGCAGGCCCAUCCGGCCUGCAUUGAAGUGCCCGUAUAGAUAAAGCUGACUUGUAGAGAGGUUCUGGUUUUAAGCAAACGUGUCAAGAACCACCCUAUUGUAGGGAUCGACCGAUAUGGAUUUUUCAGUGCCGAAACCGAUUUUUUUUUCAUCAGCCUUAGCCGAUGACCGAUACAGGGUGCCGAUUUUCUUGAGCCGAUAUUUGGAGCCGAUACUGGUUUUGCUCACUCAAUUUACAUAAAAAAAAUGGCAUGUUGUUAAAAAGAGAUGAUAUUAGUUUGCACAUUUACAUUUAUUGUAGUCUAGGACUAGUCUAAUCCCUGUCCAGGAAACCGCCCCAUAGAGAUGAAAAAAACCCACUUUUUUCAGCUAUGAUCAGCUGUUAAGCCGAGCUUUCAAUGUUGUUGUGAAAAGGUUGGUUGUUUUUAGUCACAUGACCUGCAAUCGCUUGCAGUUUCCAGCACUCUGUCUGUAAAUUAUGCCGGAAAAAUCGGCAAACACGGCAGCCAUGUAUCGGCCGAUGCCGAUACACAUAAAACUCGCAAAUAUCGGCCCGAUAUAUCAGGAAGUAGCUGAUCUGUCGGGUUCAUUGAGCCUGCGGUCAAGUGAUAGUGAUUGAAAAAUGUCAUUGCUUGAUGAAGAUUGGAGAUGGAAGAGGUGCCUUAGUAAAGUGUACGAGGGGACUCGCAAAUCUGAUGGCAAGAAGGUCACCAUCAAAUAUAUUAAGAUGUCUGGCAAGGAUAUCUACACUAAAAUGUCCUUGAGACAAACAGACCCAGUUCUGGCCACAGUGGAGGUCAACACACCAUCUACUUGCCAACCUUCAACGUGAUGCCCAGCCGAUGCCUGACCAACGACCACGUUUCAUUAUUAAUACGCUCGCUUGUAAAGUUUAUUCAAAGCCGCUGUGUUUUGCUACUUAUUUUCUACUUUAAAAACAUUACAAUAAAUGUGAUGCCUUUUAUUUUCAAUAUAAUGCAUAUUUUUAUUAAAUAUAAUAAACAAACAUAAAUAUGAAAAGCAGUUGUUUUGUUCUCUUUAUUAUCAACUUUAUUCAAUAAACAAGACAUUUGUGACAAACAGUAAGAAAGUAAACUUUACCAUUUCACAGUAGAAUCCAUAAAGCCACACAGGUCUAAGAGUUUAUGACAAAUGGUAUUUACAUCACUGCUAAAAAAAACAAUAGACACCAUCACAGAAAUUCUAUUGGUUCUAUGUAUUGGUUCUAAUGGAAUAUGGCCCAAAACACACUACAGUGUAGUGGUUUUAAUGGUAAAAGCUAAUGGUUCCUAUUGGUAUUUUAAACCAUUUGAAUUUUCUGUAAUGGUUUUAUUGUUUUUUUUUCAGCAGGGGUCAGUGUCCAAAAUUGCUUAGGCCUACUCAUUUUCUUUCUCUAUAUAGGGCACAUUGAACGGUUUCAGACACAGCCAAUUAUUUCCUGGAAGAUACAGUAGUAUUUGUCUUUCUCUGGACUGAAUAAAAUAAAUGCUUGUAAUGAUUCCAUUCAUUUUCUGUCUGAACUGUUCUUAAA
Non-coding RNA from Misgurnus anguillicaudatus (oriental weatherfish), 2553 nucleotides. NCBI's taxonomy places the organism in Eukaryota, Metazoa, Chordata, Actinopteri, Cypriniformes, Cobitidae. The record is from RefSeq and is a predicted model, not a curated record.